AAUCUGGCUUCCCUGGAGUUCAAAAUAAACGCAGCGAAGCCAAGUACCCCGCACGCCCUCGCGCACACCCCGCGGGGAGCCAACGCCCUCUUACGCACAAGCGCAGAGGCUUGUGGGCAGUGCCACCGCUCAGACAGAUUGUUCCUGUUCUUUGGCUUAUUGGAGAAGCUACUAUUUGUUUUCAAAUUAUUUUGUACAAUAUGACUUCAGUGAUUGCUGCUGCAGGAGUCUCGGGUCACAGACACGCUCAACCACCAACCUCUCUCUUUGAGUUAACCUGGCCAGCAAUGGAGCGUCCACUUCAGCACCACUUAUUAUCCAAAGCCUGCUCUGCAGCAUGAACGAUUUCCCCAGAAGUACUUCUCCCCAUGGCUCACUGUCAUGGAACCACAAUGGCCACCCUGCACAGAGGGGCUUGAAGGAAAUAGCUCCUAAGAUGGAGACAAAAAAGCGUUGAGUACCAUAUAUGAGGUUGACUCACUGAGUUCACAAUCUGAAAAACCUACCUCAUGAUUAUAAACCAGGACCUUGCUGUGAAGUGGAAAUUCUUGGAUACUAGGACAGAAGAACCUAACAUCUCCAGAAGCAGCUAAGGCAGAAUCAAUGCAAUGAAGGAAAGAAUUAGUGACGCAGAAACAUAUUUAAGAGGAAAUCCAAAAUACUAUUAAUUUAAUAAAUAUAAUGCCUCAUAAGGUCCUG
This is a long non-coding RNA of Equus asinus (donkey), 699 nucleotides long. The record is from Ensembl. NCBI's taxonomy places the organism in Eukaryota, Metazoa, Chordata, Mammalia, Perissodactyla, Equidae.